RNAcentral lists this long non-coding RNA (2554 nucleotides) under Homo sapiens (human). Its description in RNAcentral is "non-protein coding lnc-PRKACG-2:1". Lineage: Eukaryota; Metazoa; Chordata; Mammalia; Primates; Hominidae. The record is from RNAcentral.
AAGUGCUAUGGGUCAUCCAGGUGAAGAUGUUCAGUAAUUUAACAAAUAUGUAUCAAGUGUCUCCUAUGUGCUAGGCACUGAUGAGUAUUUGAGGAGAGAGAUUUGGGAGUGAUUUGGGUAUCAUCAAUGUAUCAUAAAAGUUGAAGUCUUGGGAGGGGACAAUCCCACAUUCAGAGACGUGAUGUAGAUUAAGCCAAGAGAGGACUAAGGACAGGACUCAUCUCUGGGAAUGCCAAUAUUUAGGGGGCAGACUUGAGUUGCCAGAACAGAGACCAAAGAGGAGCUGCCAGAAAGGAAAGAAAACGCUUCUGGAGGAGAGUGUCCAAAAAGCCAAGGAAAGAACAAACUUCAGGAAAGAGGGAGAGGCCAACAACAUGGAAUUUCGAGGAGGUCAAUUAAGACCACUGAGUUUUGCAAGAAUAAGGUGCUCAUUAUAAAGCAUCUGAGGAGUUCAGAAGAGCACCAAGAAAUUUAAAAACUAAAGUCCUAAUACCUGUCUUCGACAUUAGGUGAACAUUCCAGACAUAUAUACAGACAGAAGACCACAUGGAUGACUUAUCAAGAAACGAAAAAUGUUUACAAAAAUGAGAUCCCACUACAGUAUUAUUUUUAUUUAUUUAUUUUUAUUUUUAUGUUUUUGAGACAGUCUUGCUGUUGCCCAGGCUGGGGUGCAGUGGCAUGAUCUAGGCUCACUGCAACGUCCGCCUCCUGAGUUCAAGCAAUUAUCCUGCCUCAGCCUCCCAAACUGGGAUUACAAACAUGUGCCACCACGCCCAGCUAAUUUUUCUGGGGUUUUUUUUUUCGUAGAGACGGGGUUUCACCAUGUUGGCCAGGCUGGUUUUGAACUCCUGACCUCAAGUGAUUCUCCCGUCUUGGCCUCCGAAAGUGCUAGGAUUAUGGGCGUGAGCCACUGCACCCAGCCUAUUUUAUUUAUUUUUCAGAAAAAGUCUCACUCUGGCCCAGGCUGGAGUGCAGUGGCACAAUCAUAGCUCACAGCAGCCUCCAACUCCUGGGCUCAAGCAGUCCUUCCACCUCAGCCUCCCAAGUAGCUGGGACUACAGGCCCAUGCCACCAGGCCUGGCUAAUUUUUUAAAAAAUAUAUUUUUAAGGCUGGGCACGGUGGCUCACGCCUGUAAUCCCAGCACUUUGGGAGGCAGAUCACUUGAGGCCAGGAAUUCAAGACCAGCCUGGCCAACAUGGUGAAACCCCGUCUCUACUAAAAAUACAAAACUUAGCCAGGAAUGGUGGCGCAUGCCUGUAAUCCCAGCUACUCAGAAAAAAAAAUUAUUUUUAGUAGAGAUGAGGUCUUGCUAUGUUGCACAGGCUGGCCUCAAACUCCUGGCUUCUAGCUAUCCUCCUACCUUGGUCUCCCAAAGUGCUGUGAUUACAGGCAUGAGCCACGGUGCCUGGCCCUGUGUUGUUUUACUGUUUAAAACUGUUUUACUGUUUACUGUUUAAAAACAGUAAAUAAGGUUAGGCAGAUGGCUCACGCCUGUAAUCCCAGCACUUUGGGAGGCCAAGAUGGGAGGAUUGUUUGAGCCCAGGAGUUCAAGACCAGCCUUGGGCAACAUAGCAAGACCUGAUCUCUACAAAAAACAGCUAGGCCUGGUGGUACACACCUGUAGUCCCAGCUACUUGGGAGGCUGAAGCAAGAGGAUGGCUUGAGCCUGGAAAGCAGAGGCUGCCUAGCCGAGAUCGUACCACUGCACUCCAGCCUGGGUGCCAGAGCAAGACCCUGCCUCAAAAAAAAAUAAAAAAGAAUUAGCUGUGCAAUUCAGAGUCAGCUAUGGCCUGAACGGAUUAAGAAGCUGGGGUGCCCUAGACUGGUGUUUGGGGAGAGUCCUGGGUUGGAAGGAGAUGACUGUAGUCUAGGCUGACCACAUGCAGACUCCUAGGUGACUUAUAGGGCUCAUCUGGGUGUGCUCAGGCUGGUGGGCAGAGGCCACGGUGGUGCUCCGCCUGGGGCUGAGGCAGAGCGUAACCCUGAUCCACUCCUGGAAAGCCAAGAAGCAUCCUAUGGCACACGUUCUAGUUUAGACAUACCUGCUGGGGAGCGUGCUUUGCAACAUGGAGGAGGGAGCACUUCUUCCUGGCAGGACACCCUGGGUCCUCAGAGGCACUCCAAGGUGCUCCAAAGUAUGACAGCUUUUACUAUUUUACUGCUGUUUACACUGCAGAAUAUAUGAAAGCCACACUCUCUUUUCGGGGAUAGAGACCCCUUGUUAGCCCUCCACUGAGAAGCAGUGGAGAAACUCUGAUAAACAAUGAUUGACUAAAUGCAUAUUCUGUGCCAAGAGCUUUUCAUAUACUAUACUAAGUCAUUCAAUGUAGUGACUAUAUAGUCAGUAUUCUUGCCCCUGCUUUAUACGUGAAGAAACUAUGCUUCAGAGAAAGCAGUUUGCCCAUGGUUGUCCUCAAGCAGAUGGAAUCCAAACCCACCGGGCAUGGUGGCCACACCUGUAAUCACAGCACUUUGGGAGACCAAGGUGAGAGGAUCACAUGAGCCCAGGAGUUCAAGACCAGCCUAGGCAACAUAGGAAGACCCUGUCUCUAC